AGAGUUUGAUCAUGGCUCAGGAUAAACGCUGGCGGCGUGCCUAACACAUGCAAGUCGAACGCCCUACGCAAGUAGGGAGUGGCGGACGGGUGAGUAACACGUGGGUUAUCUGCCCUUAGGUGAGGAAUACCGGCGAGAAAUCGCCGACAAUACCGCAUACGCUCGCAAGAGCAAAGCCCGCAAGGGCGCCUGAGGAUGAG
Molecule: ribosomal RNA, 200 nt
Filed under: uncultured bacterium
Lineage: Bacteria
Description: partial 16S ribosomal RNA
Rfam family: Bacterial small subunit ribosomal RNA
Source: RNAcentral